Molecule: ribosomal RNA, 589 nt
Filed under: uncultured bacterium
Lineage: Bacteria
Description: partial 16S ribosomal RNA
Rfam family: Bacterial small subunit ribosomal RNA
Source: RNAcentral
UGGGGAAUUUUGGACAAUGGGCGAAAGCCUGAUCCAGCAAUGCCGCGUGUGUGAAGAAGGCCUUCGGGUUGUAAAGCACUUUUGUCCGGAAAGAAAUCCUUGGCUCUAAUACAGUCGGGGGAUGACGGUACCGGAAGAAUAAGCACCGGCUAACUACGUGCCAGCAGCCGCGGUAAUACGUAGGGUGCAAGCGUUAAUCGGAAUUACUGGGCGUAAAGCGUGCGCAGGCGGUUUGCUAAGACCGAUGUGAAAUCCCCGGGCUCAACCUGGGAACUGCAUUGGUGACUGGCAGGCUAGAGUAUGGCAGAGGGGGGUAGAAUUCCACGUGUAGCAGUGAAAUGCGUAGAGAUGUGGAGGAAUACCGAUGGCGAAGGCAGCCCCCCUGGGGCCAAAUACUGACGCUCAUGCACGAAAGCGUGGGGAGCAAACAGGAUUAGAUACCCUGGUAGUCCACGCCCUAAAACGAUGUCAACUAGUUGUUGGGGAUUCAUUUCCUUAGUAACGUAGCUAACGCGUGAAGUUGACCGCCUGGGGAGUACGGUCGCAAGAUUAAAACUCAAAUGAAUUGACGGGGUCAUAGCUGUUUCCU